AAGCUCCUCUUUAAAAUGCUUGUAUUGAGACCUCUUUUUAACCAACUCUGUUGGCCAUAGUGCUUUCUCGGUCGGCAAAUAUCCCAAUAGCAGCUUCCACACUGUAGCACGAAUGCCAGCUCCAUCUGGUAUCCCUUGUGAUGCUAGCCUCCUGACUUCUCCCAUGUUUAUAAUCUUUCUUGACAACUCUUGACAAAGCUGAGCCUGACGAGAAAUAUCCUCAGCUGACGAAAUAGCUGCUGCAGCAGCAGCAGAUGCAGACGUCAUUGUACUACUAGCGGAACUUCCAUUUUCAUCAUCACUAUGAUAAUUACUACUACUACUCAAAGGAUCUCUAAUUUCCGCUUUAGCGCGUGGAGGCCCGUGCCUAGUCUCCGCUCUAACCACUGCCGGGGCUGCCGUCAUUGAACCAGGCCGUUCGACCGUUAACUCUCCGUCAUUAGCCGAACCACCAGCUUUAACGGCGUUAACAGUAACAGUAGAUGAUUUAGUAGCUGAACGUGUAGACCGGUUGUCAUCCUCAUUUAACGGCGUCGGCGAUGAAGAUGGAGAUUGAACUGAAGGUUGUGGUCCAGGAGACGACCAGAGUGAGCUGUUGAGCCAAUCGGGAACGCGUUUGUUAACCAUAUCGUAGGGCUUAUUUUUUAAAAACAGAAUUGAUACAACGGCGGAGCAUACGGUGGCUGAAUAAGUGAAUUCGGCAGAUACGGUAGGAUUGAUACGCCGGCGGUGUUGAUACUCCGGCGAGGUGUCAUUGCAGUGAGAGGAAGAGAAGUCGUG
Molecule: unclassified non-coding RNA, 780 nt
Filed under: Hevea brasiliensis (rubber tree)
Lineage: Eukaryota; Viridiplantae; Streptophyta; Magnoliopsida; Malpighiales; Euphorbiaceae
Source: RNAcentral